RNAcentral lists this ribosomal RNA (326 nucleotides) under uncultured eukaryote. Its description in RNAcentral is "partial 18S ribosomal RNA". It matches the Rfam family "Eukaryotic small subunit ribosomal RNA", at positions 1470 to 1796 of the family's 1831-position model. The record is from RNAcentral.
CCCUUAGAUGUUCUGGGCCGCACGCGCGCUACACUGAUGCAUGCAACGAGCUCUACCCUUGACCGAAAGGCCCGGGUAAACUUGUGAAACUUCAUCGUGAUGGGGAUAGAUUAUUGCAAUUAUUAAUCUUCAACGAGGAAUUCCUAGUAAGCGCGAGUCAUCAGCUCGCGUUGAUUACGUCCCUGCCCUUUGUACACACCGCCCGUCGCUCCUACCGAUUGAAUGGUCCGGUGAAACCUCGGGAUUGUGGCCAGUUCACUUUAUUGGGAGUUGGCUGCGAGAACUUGUCUAAACCUUAUCAUUUAGAGGAAGGUGAAGGCGUAACA